UUUCAUUCUGUUUUUCUGUGUAUUAUGUUGAUACUAUAAAUUCUACAUAUGUGUUAUAUAUAUUCCAUAUAUUGAAUAUAUAGUACAUACUUGCUGUAUAAUACAUGUAACAUAUAUGGCUUAUAUGCUACCUAGUGUGUUUCAUGUAUCAUAACAUCACAUAAUACUGAGUAACAUUUUUAAGCAUAAUUUUGAUUACUGGCCAACUUGUUCUUACAUUUUUUUUAAUCACCAUGUAAGAUCUGCUAUCACAGUUAUUUUACUUUUAUGGCCCCAGGCAAAUAAUAGUUAUUGCUCCUGAAAAUUCUCUUAGCCCUUAAGAAACAUAAUCCUUUCAGUCAGCUCUCAGUCCAUUCUCUGCCUCAUCCUGAGGCUCAUCUUAUUUCAGUAUCCCGACUUCUCCAGCUUAUGAACACCAUCCCCACACUCCCAAACAGCCACUGAGAGCAAAGAAACAUUGACACGACUGGGAUGAUUGUAAAAAAUAAACAGUAUUUAUAGUUCCUGAGGCAAACAGCAGAUGACAACCUGUACGGGGAGGGUGUUUCAAACUCAGCUGCAGUGUCAUCUCUUCCAGAAAGCCUUAGUGCCCUCAGCUCUGGAUGACCUGCCCAAGCACCAGCCUGGCCAUUGUACUGCAUCCUACCAGUACUGAAAUAAGCUCUACCAUGACCAGAUAGGCCGUAACUCUCCUAAAGGUGAUGUCAGUGCGCCCCUCAUCCUUAUGUUACAAGUACUUUAGACUGCUCGAUCCAUAGCAUAGAAAAAAAAAUAAGGACUUGGGGACUGGACCAUAUUUCAGGAGUCAAGAAUGUCCUGGAGGAUCGGAAGGUCAGAAGUACUGAAUAGUUCAUUCUGGAAGACAGAGUUGGGAUUGAGUCCUCUCUGUUGGCUCAUUUCAAGACAGGUUUUCUGCAGGUGUCCAAGAUCGCUGCCUAGAACUCCAGGUCCCUUACAUCCUCCCAUAAUCUCCACUGGUGAAAGAGGUCAUUUUUCCUGUUAGUGUCUUCAAAAGCCCUGGAUCAUAUCAGAAAAAUGUGAGACAAAAACACAGCUAAUACUGUCAGC
Molecule: long non-coding RNA, 1068 nt
Filed under: Marmota monax (woodchuck)
Lineage: Eukaryota; Metazoa; Chordata; Mammalia; Rodentia; Sciuridae
Source: RNAcentral